AGACCCGAAACCCGGUGAUCUAGCCAUGGGCAGGUUGAAGGUUGGGUAACACUAACUGGAGGACCGAACCGACUAAUGUUGAAAAAUUAGCGGAUGACCUGUGGCUGGGGGUGAAAGGCCAAUCAAACCGGGAGAUAGCUGGUUCUCCCCGAAAGCUAUUUAGGUAGCGCCUCGUGAAUUCAUCUCCGGGGGUAGAGCACUGUUUCGGCUAGGGGGCCAUCCCGGCUUACCAACCCGAUGCAAACUGCGAAUACCGGAGAAUGUUAUCACGGGAGACACACGGCGGGUGCUAACGUCCGUCGUGAAGAGGGAAACAACCCAGACCGCCAGCUAAGGUCCCAAAGUCAUGGUUAAGUGGGAAACGAUGUGGGAAGGCCCAGACAGCCAGGAUGUUGGCUUAGAAGCAGCCAUCAUUUAAAGAAAGCGUAAUAGCUCACUGGUCGAGUCGGCCUGCGCGGAAGAUGUAACGGGGCUAAACCAUGCACCGAAGCUGCGGCAGCGAACGUAUCACCCAAGACAACUUUACGGAGUUGACGAUUGACGGAGCGAAGCGACGUCAAAGCGUUCAUUAAAGUCGAGUUGGCUUAGGGAUACGUUCGUUGGGUAGGGGAGCGUUCUGUAAGCCUGUGAAGGUGUGUCGUGAGGCAUGCUGGAGGUAUCAGAAGUGCGAAUGCUGACAUAAGUAACGAUAAAGCGGGUGAAAAGCCCGCUCGCCGGAAGACCAAGGGUUCCUGUCCAACGUUAAUCGGGGCAGGGUGAGUCGACCCCUAAGGCGAGGCCGAAAGGCGUAGUCGAUGGGAAACGGGUUAAUAUUCCCGUACUUGGUGUUACUGCGAAGGGGGGACGGAGAAGGCUAUGUUGGCCGGGCGACGGUUGUCCCGGUUUAAGCGUGUAGGUGUGUGUUCCAGGUAAAUCCGGUUCACUUUAACACUGAGGCGUGACGACGAGGCACUACGGUGCUGAAGCAACAAAUGCCCUGCUUCCAGGAAAAGCCUCUAAGCAUCAGGUAACACGAAAUCGUACCCCAAACCGACACAGGUGGUCAGGUAGAGAAUACCAAGGCGCUUGAGAGAACUCGGGUGAAGGAACUAGGCAAAAUGGUGCCGUAACUUCGGGAGAAGGCACGCUGACACGUAGGUGAAGUGAUUUACUCAUGGAGCUGAAGUCAGUCGAAGAUACCAGCUGGCUGCAACUGUUUAUUAAAAACACAGCACUGUGCAAACACGAAAGUGGACGUAUACGGUGUGACGCCUGCCCGGUGCCGGAAGGUUAAUUGAUGGGGUCAGCGCAAGCGAAGCUCCUGAUCGAAGCCCCGGUAAACGGCGGCCGUAACUAUAACGGUCCUAAGGUAGCGAAAUUCCUUGUCGGGUAAGUUCCGACCUGCACGAAUGGCGUAAUGAUGGCCAGGCUGUCUCCACCCGAGACUCAGUGAAAUUGAACUCGCUGUGAAGAUGCAGUGUACCCGCGGCAAGACGGAAAGACCCCGUGAACCUUUACUAUAGCUUGACACUGAACAUUGAGCCUUGAUGUGUAGGAUAGGUGGGAGGCUUUGAAGUGUGGACGCCAGUCUGCAUGGAGCCGACCUUGAAAUACCACCCUUUAAUGUUUGAUGUUCUAACGUGGACCCGUAAUCCGGGUUGCGGACAGUGUCUGGUGGGUAGUUUGACUGGGGCGGUCUCCUCCUAAAGAGUAACGGAGGAGCACGAAGGUUGGCUAAUCCUGGUCGGACAUCAGGAGGUUAGUGCAAUGGCAUAAGCCAGCUUGACUGCGAGCGUGACGGCGCGAGCAGGUGCGAAAGCAGGUCAUAGUGAUCCGGUGGUUCUGAAUGGAAGGGCCAUCGCUCAACGGAUAAAAGGUACUCCGGGGAUAACAGGCUGAUACCGCCCAAGAGUUCAUAUCGACGGCGGUGUUUGGCACCUCGAUGUCGGCUCAUCACAUCCUGGGGCUGAAGUAGGUCCCAAGGGUAUGGCUGUUCGCCAUUUAAAGUGGUACGCGAGCUGGGUUUAGAACGUCGUGAGACAGUUCGGUCCCUAUCUGCCGUGGGCGCUGGAGAACUGAGGGGGGCUGCUCCUAGUACGAGAGGACCGGAGUGGACGCAUCACUGGUGUUCGGGUUGUCAUGCCAAUGGCACUGCCCGGUAGCUAAAUGCGGAAGAGAUAAGUGCUGAAAGCAUCUAAGCACGAAACUUGCCCCGAGAUGAGUUCUCCCUGAGACUUAGAGUCUCCUGAAGGAACGUUGAAGA
Molecule: ribosomal RNA, 2242 nt
Filed under: Salmonella enterica subsp. enterica serovar Typhimurium
Lineage: Bacteria; Pseudomonadati; Pseudomonadota; Gammaproteobacteria; Enterobacterales; Enterobacteriaceae
Description: partial 23S ribosomal RNA
Rfam family: Bacterial large subunit ribosomal RNA
Source: RNAcentral